Molecule: ribosomal RNA, 490 nt
Filed under: uncultured bacterium
Lineage: Bacteria
Description: partial 16S ribosomal RNA
Rfam family: Bacterial small subunit ribosomal RNA
Source: RNAcentral
AUUGAACGCUGGCGGCAGGCCUAACACAUGCAAGUCGAACGGUAACAGGAAGCAGCUUGCUGCUUUGCUGACGAGUGGCGGACGGGUGAGUAAUGUCUGGGAAACUGCCUGAUGGAGGGGGAUAACUACUGGAAACGGUAGCUAAUACCGCAUAACGUCGCAAGACCAAAGAGGGGGACCUUCGGGCCUCUUGCCAUCCGCUGUGCCCAGAAGGGAUUAGCUAGUAGGUGGGGUAAAGGCACACCUAGGCGACGAUCCCAUGCUGAUCUGAGAGGAUGACCAGACACACUGGAACUGAGAAACGUCCCAGACUCCUAAGGGAGGCAGCAGUGUCGAAUAUUGCACGAUGGGCGCAAGCCUGAUGCAGCCAUGCCGCGUGUAUGAAGAAGGCCUUCGGGUUGUAAAGUUCGUUCAGCAGGGAGGAAGGGAGUAACUUUAAUACCUUUGCUCAUUGACGUUACCCACAGAAGAAGCACCGGCUAACUCCGUG